UUUUUAACAGAUUUCAAUCUUAAAAUAAUGUGUUAUUUUUGGGUUCAUCCCCUAGGGUGAACCUCUAGGUUCACCAACCAAUAAGAUUAUGUUAUUUCAAAUUUGAUAGUUUUUAUAAAAGGAAACAAAAUAUUGUCAAGUUAUAUUAUGUUU
Molecule: long non-coding RNA, 153 nt
Organism: Brassica rapa (field mustard)
Lineage: Eukaryota; Viridiplantae; Streptophyta; Magnoliopsida; Brassicales; Brassicaceae
Source: RefSeq, a predicted model, not a curated record